GCGGCCCUACGGGGCGCAGCAGUGAGGAAUAUUGGUCAAUGGACGAGAGUCUGAACCAGCCAAGUAGCGUGAAGGAUGACUGCCCUAUGGGUUGUAAACUUCUUUUAUAUGGGAAUAAAAUGUUCCACGUGUGGGAUUUUGUAUGUACCAUAUGAAUAAGGAUCGGCUAACUCCGUGCCAGCAGCCGCGGUAAUACGGAGGAUCCGAGCGUUAUUCGGAUUUAUUGGGUUUAAAGGGAGCGUAGGUGGAUUGUUAAGUCAGUUGUGAAAGUUUGCGGCUCACCCGUAAACUUGCCGUUGAAACUG
This 305-nucleotide ribosomal RNA is filed under the name uncultured bacterium. RNAcentral describes it as "bacterial SSU rRNA". It matches the Rfam family "Bacterial small subunit ribosomal RNA", at positions 333 to 635 of the family's 1533-position model. The record is from RNAcentral.